This 323-nucleotide ribosomal RNA is filed under the name uncultured eukaryote. RNAcentral describes it as "partial 18S ribosomal RNA". It matches the Rfam family "Eukaryotic small subunit ribosomal RNA", at positions 1470 to 1796 of the family's 1831-position model. The record is from RNAcentral.
CCCUUAGGCGUUCUGGGCCGCACGCGCGCUACACUGACGGAGCCAGCGAGCUUUUCCUUAACCGAGAGGUUUGGGUAAUCUUGUGAAACUCCGUCGUGCUGGGGAUAGAGCAUUGUAAUUAUUGCUCUUCAACGAGGAAUUCCUAGUAAGCGCAAGUCAUCAGCUUGCGUUGAUUACGUCCCUGCCCUUUGUACACACCGCCCGUCGCUCCUACCGAUUGAAUGCUCAGGUGAGCCAUUCGGACUUUCAUCAUGCUGGUUUCCAGUUUUGAUGAAGGAAAGUCUUGCGAACCUUAUCAUUUAGAGGAAGGAGAAGUCGUAACA